RNAcentral lists this non-coding RNA (330 nucleotides) under Musca domestica (house fly). Its description in RNAcentral is "Eukaryotic large subunit ribosomal RNA". It matches the Rfam family "Eukaryotic large subunit ribosomal RNA", at positions 960 to 1375 of the family's 3401-position model. The record is from Rfam by way of RNAcentral. Lineage: Eukaryota; Metazoa; Arthropoda; Insecta; Diptera; Muscidae.
UCCGAAGUUUCCCUCAGGAGAGCUGCUGCAUUUAAAAAUUAUGUAAAAUAAUCUUAUCUGGUAAAGCGAAUGAUUAGAGGCCUUAGGGUCGAAACGACCUUAAACUAUUCUCAAGCUUUAAAUGGGUAAGAACCACACCUUUCUUUGUAUGCAAUUGUGGUUGUGAUAUAAUGUGCCCAGUGGGCUACUUUUGGUAAGCAGAACUGGCGCUGUGGGAUGAACCAAACGUAAUGUUACGGUCCCCUGCCAUACCAAAUUUGAAACAAUUCCGGUGAAUGGACACACUUAAAUCAUCAAAAUCCAUUACGAACUUCAAAUACAUUAUUGGGA